GUUACUACGGCAACAGCGUCCCGGCAACGGCAGAAGGCAGAAGUAGAGUGGGGUGUUGUUAUCUUCGGUAACUGCUUCCCGCCUCCGCUGGGCGGCAGGUUUGGACUGAAAGCAACGGGUAAAAUGGCUUGGCAACAAUUUUUAGAAAAUCUCAGAGUUCCUGGAAGCACCUUUGAAAACAGGCAGGAAGAGUAAAUCCAACUAGAUGAGAUGAAGCUUUUCCCAGUGACACUGUUCUCCAGAAGCUAUGUGGAUACAUCCCAGAUGCUUAUCCCUCUUUAAAGCAGACAUUCCUUAUGCCUGAUGAAGUAAAAGCAAUUAUUUUUAGGUGUUGCCUUGGUUAACCACUCUCACAGCUAACCAUUUGUGUCUGUGUCAGCUUUAAAGCAUUCUAGUGAUCGCCAGUCUUUGUUUUGUUUUACAGUAGCUUGCAGUCUGCUGUUCAAAUUUCUUUAACAUAGCUAUGUGCAACCUGGGACUAAAUAAUCGGUAACAACCUCUCCGAUAAACAGAAAUUAUUGACCUCCUAGAAUUUCUCUGGAAGUCAUGUUGCCCAGUUUUUUAAUCAUCUCUGUGGCUCUCUGUAGUUUUUCUGUAUAUUUCAUGAAAUGUUAUGAUAGAAAUGAGAAUCGGUGCUUUCACAGAAGUUUUACUUGUACCAGAAAAGUAAAUAAAAUAACUUUUCAGAUACUG
Coturnix japonica (Japanese quail) is the source of this 693-nucleotide long non-coding RNA. RefSeq lists it as uncharacterized. Lineage: Eukaryota; Metazoa; Chordata; Aves; Galliformes; Phasianidae. The record is from RefSeq and is a predicted model, not a curated record.